Molecule: ribosomal RNA, 497 nt
Filed under: uncultured bacterium
Lineage: Bacteria
Description: partial 16S ribosomal RNA
Rfam family: Bacterial small subunit ribosomal RNA
Source: RNAcentral
GAUGAACGCUGGCGGCGUGCCUAAUACAUGCAAGUCGAGCGAACAGACGAGGAGCUUGCUCCUCUGACGUUAGCGGCGGACGGGUGAGUAACACGUGGAUAACCUACCUAUAAGACUGGGAUAACUUCGGGAAACCGGAGCUAAUACCGGAUAAUAUAUUGAACCGCAUGGUUCAAUAGUGAAAGACGGAUUUGCUGUCACUUAUAGAUGGAUCCGCGCCGCAUUAGCUAGUUGGUAAGGUAACGGCUUACCAAGGCGACGAUGCGUAGCCGACCUGGGAGGGUGAUCGGCCACACUGGAACUGAGACACGGUCCAGACUCCUACGGGAGGCAGCAGUAGGGAAUCUUCCGCAAUGGGCGAAAGCCUGACGGAGCAACGCCGCGUGAGUGAUGAAGGUCUUCGGAUCGUAAAACUCUGUUAUUAGGGAAGAACAAAUGUGUAAGUAACUAUGCACGUCUUGACGGUACCUAAUCAGAAAGCCACGGCUAACUACGUG